Capsicum annuum is the source of this 1778-nucleotide long non-coding RNA. RefSeq lists it as uncharacterized. The transcript is spliced from 2 exons. Lineage: Eukaryota; Viridiplantae; Streptophyta; Magnoliopsida; Solanales; Solanaceae. The record is from RefSeq and is a predicted model, not a curated record.
AAACUAAGCCCAUCUAUAAAUCCUCUUUUCUCUUAUCUGCGAACAACAACAAAAGCACGAACAAUUGCGUACAAACAUCAACAAUAAUUUCACGUAGCCAAACUCGAUCCAAUCAACAACCCAAUACCAACAACCCACAAUCAACUCAUUUUCAAUCUCUUUCAUGCAUCCCAUGCGGAUGUUGUAUGAGAAAGAUGUCAAGAAUUCUCUAGAAGUGCUUAGGUGUUUCCCCUAACGGUUUGGUUUCGCGAAUCUUAGAUGAAUUUGUACGAAUUUGUACAUGUUUGGUGGAUUCUCAUAGGUUUACAAAGGAAUUUUGAAUUAAUUGAAAAAAAAUCCAAGUUGAUAAAGGAUUUGGAGAGGUAACCUUAUUAGGAGUUCAAAUUUUGAAUUCUAUCUCCAAAAAAUUCCCCAAAUUACCCCCCCAAUUUUAAUUUUUUCCACACCAGUUGAAACCCUAAAAUAAACCCUAGCCUUUUCUCUAUAAAAAGGUUAGUUUUGGGAGAAAAAAGGGGUCCGAAAAAGAGGAGGAAAAAAUUCCUUUGAAAACAAAAAAUAAGAGAAAAUGAGGAAGGAAAAAAGGGAGAAAAAUUGGUUGCAAGAAUAGAAAAGAAUUUUUUAGUAAAAAGUUUAGGAAAAGAAGUCGGCUAGUCAAUAUUUUCGUAGCGGUGUUGAAUUUUCCAGUGGUGGUGAAGUUCAAAAGAGCUCGAAGUUCUAUUUUGCUGCUCCCAAACAGCCACCCUUUGCGGGUCGAUUUCGGAGUUUAGUUAAAAGUGAUCCAUGGUAUAUGAAUACGAUGAGAUUAAAGAAGAAGAAGAAGGGGUUAAAAUCCCAUAUUUGAAGUAGCUAAGAGACUUGACGGUCUUAUUUAUUUAUUUAUUUAUUUACUUGUUUGUUGUCUCAUGUAUUCACUUAUUUGUUGUCUUAGUCUUUUUUUCUUUAUUUAUUCAUUUGGGCCUUGAAGCCAAAGUUGUAAAUUUAAUAAAGGUGGAGCAGAUUUCAGUCCAACAGGCCUGAAAAAUUAGUUUAGGACAGGUUACGGGCCAAAUCUCAACAUUAUAUUAGGACAGAUGCAAGUGAGCCAAAAAGCCCAACUAGACUAGGACAGGAUCCGUCGACUUGGGCCCAAUGGCCUAUGUCUUAUAUUUUCUCCCCUUCCUCUUUUACAUGCUUUGUUGCUAGUUUGUUUAGAUUUAGUUAAAAUCCCUACUAAGUCGUCCAAACCUAUUUUUACACAACUUUUUCCUAAAAUCAAUCACUUUUGAAAAAUCAAUCUUUUUAAGUCAGUACAAGAUAUUUUCAAACAGUUCGGAUAACCGUAAGUUAGCAGACGUUUUAGGUGCCCUAAAAUCUUCCUAAAACAUUAAUAGGAACCGCUUACCUAGAAUCUCUAAAGUUUAAAUGAUUUUUCUGUUUUGAAUAGUUUAAAGUAUCGUAUAAAGAUUUUCUUAAUUCCUUUUCAAAUAAAUUAAAUGACGACUCUUAAAAGUCAAAAUUUCCACAAAAAACAAUAUCUGUUAAUUGAUAUUCAAUAUGAAUGCUUUUGCAGGUCAAUUCUACACCAAUGUGAGAAGCUAGUAGUGUGUAGACUUGGUUAUACGAUUCAUUUAUGCUCAACAAUACUGCAUCACUGAUGUAAUCUUCAUAUUGUUGUUCAUAUGUCCAUCUACCAGAGUGUUUAACGAGAACAAGUAUGUUUUCCAUUUUCAAUGUCCAAAACACUACAAAUCUAUAAAUAUAACUUCAAUUAUUAAAUACGUACUACAUAUAAAAAAUCA